RNAcentral lists this ribosomal RNA (275 nucleotides) under uncultured bacterium. Its description in RNAcentral is "partial 16S ribosomal RNA". It matches the Rfam family "Bacterial small subunit ribosomal RNA", at positions 8 to 278 of the family's 1533-position model. The record is from RNAcentral.
AGAGUUUGAUCAUGGCUCAGGGUGAACGCUAGCGACAGGCUUAACACAUGCAAGUCGAGGGGCAGCGGGGAGUAGCAAUACUUCGCCGGCGACCGGCGCACGGGUGAGUAACACGUGUGCAACCAACCCCGUACCGGGAGAUAACCCGCGGAAACGUGGACUAACAUCCCAUAAGACUCUAGAGCCGCAUGGCUUUGGAUUUAAAUUCCGGUGGUACGGGACGGGCACGCGCGACAUUAGGUAGUUGGCGGGGUUAACGGCCCACCAAGCCGACG